UGAACAUUGAGCCUUGAUGUGUAGGAUAGGUGGGAGGCUUUGAAGUGUGGACGCCAGUCUGCAUGGAGCCGACCUUGAAAUACCACCCUUUAAUGUUUGAUGUUCUAACGUGGACCCGUAAUCCGGGUUGCGGACAGUGUCUGGUGGGUAGUUUGACUGGGGCGGUCUCCUCCUAAAGAGUAACGGAGGAGCACGAAGGUUGGCUAAUCCUGGUCGGACAUCAGGAGGUUAGUGCAAUGGCAUAAGCCAGCUUGACUGCGAGCGUGACGGCGCGAGCAGGUGCGAAAGCAGGUCAUAGUGAUCCGGUGGUUCUGAAUGGAAGGGCCAUCGCUCAACGGAUAAAAGGUACUCCGGGGAUAACAGGCUGAUACCGCCCAAGAGUUCAUAUCGACGGCGGUGUUUGGCACCUCGAUGUCGGCUCAUCACAUCCUGGGGCUGAAGUAGGUCCCAAGGGUAUGGCUGUUCGCCAUUUAAAGUGGUACGCGAGCUGGGUUUAGAACGUCGUGAGACAGUUCGGUCCCUAUCUGCCGUGGGCGCUGGAGAACUGAGGGGGGCUGCUCCUAGUACGAGAGGACCGGAGUGGACGCAUCACUGGUGUUCGGGUUGUCAUGCCAAUGGCACUGCCCGGUAGCUAAAUGCGGAAGAGAUAAGUGCUGAAAGCAUCUAAGCACGAAACUUGCCCCGA
RNAcentral lists this ribosomal RNA (685 nucleotides) under Salmonella enterica. RNAcentral's name for it is "partial 23S ribosomal RNA". It matches the Rfam family "Bacterial large subunit ribosomal RNA", at positions 2118 to 2802 of the family's 2925-position model. The record is from RNAcentral. Lineage: Bacteria; Pseudomonadati; Pseudomonadota; Gammaproteobacteria; Enterobacterales; Enterobacteriaceae.